AUUGAACGCUGGCGGCAUGCCUAACACAUGCAAGUCGAACGGCAGCACAGUAAAGAUUUCGGUCUUUAUGGGUGGCGAGUGGCGGACGGGUGAGUAAUGCGUAGGAAUCUGUCCUGGAGAGUAGGAUAACCCGAGGAAACUCGGGCUAAUACUGCAUGAUAUCGAGAGAUCAAAGGCAGGGGAUCCUUCGGGGCCUUGCGCUCUAGGAUGAGCCUACGUCGGAUUAGCUAGUUGGUGGGGUAAAGGCCUACCAAGGCGACGAUCCGUAGCUGGUCUGAGAGGAUGACCAGCCACACUGGGACUGAGACACGGCCCAGACUCCUACGGGAGGCAGCAGUGGGGAAUCUUGGACAAUGGGGGAAACCCUGAUCCAGCGAUGCCGCGUGUGUGAAGAAGGCCUUCGGGUUGUAAAGCACUUUAGUUGGGGAAGAAAAGUAAUGAGUGAAUAACUGAUUGCUCUGACGGUACCCAAAGAAUAAGCACCGGCUAACUCUGUGCCAGCCGCCGCAGUAA
This 513-nucleotide ribosomal RNA is filed under the name uncultured bacterium. Its description in RNAcentral is "partial 16S ribosomal RNA". It matches the Rfam family "Bacterial small subunit ribosomal RNA", at positions 30 to 523 of the family's 1533-position model. The record is from RNAcentral.